RNAcentral lists this ribosomal RNA (360 nucleotides) under Triticum aestivum (bread wheat). RNAcentral's name for it is "partial small subunit ribosomal RNA". Lineage: Eukaryota; Viridiplantae; Streptophyta; Magnoliopsida; Poales; Poaceae. The record is from RNAcentral.
AUGAUCAGGUGUUCGGCCCCCCUUCCCGAAGGCUCACCGGAUCCUGUACUAGCCAGGAUCCUUGAGCUUGCGCCUUAUCAAGCGCCAUCAGGGGAAGAUAAAGGGAGGAAUAAAGAAGCCGAAAGCGAGCCUCACUCAUUAUUCAUCCAAACCGGGGGAAUUAGUGCCUCUGCGAAGGAGGAUAACCGGGGAGAAGAACCUAAAAUUCCGUCUCCCCAAGGAAGGAAGAGGGCCGCCUCUGAAGACUUGGAAACAACGGUUUCCAAACGAGGGAAGAAACCUUUGUCAGGGGGCCCCACCCUGGAGGGCAUCCUUACCGAACAGUGCCCGCAAGGGGACCAGCCCUCCACCGAGUUGUAA